This 253-nucleotide ribosomal RNA is filed under the name uncultured bacterium. RNAcentral describes it as "partial 16S ribosomal RNA". It matches the Rfam family "Bacterial small subunit ribosomal RNA", at positions 524 to 776 of the family's 1533-position model. The record is from RNAcentral.
UACAGAGGGUGCGAGCGUUAAUCGGAAUUACUGGGCGUAAAGCGCGCGUAGGCGGUUUUGUAAGUCGGGUGUGAAAUCCCCAAGCUUAACUUGGGAACUGCAUUCGAGACUGCAUAGCUAGAGUAUGGGAGAGGGAAGUGGAAUUUCAGGUGUAGCGGUGAAAUACGUAGAUAUCUGAAGGAACAUCAGUGGCGAAAGCGACUUCCUGGACCAAUACUGACGCUCAUGUGCGAAAGCGUGGGGAGCAAACAGG